This 765-nucleotide long non-coding RNA is filed under the name Salvia miltiorrhiza (redroot sage). Its description in RNAcentral is "long non-coding RNA (SMIL_LNC012852)". Lineage: Eukaryota; Viridiplantae; Streptophyta; Magnoliopsida; Lamiales; Lamiaceae. The record is from RNAcentral.
UGUGUCACUACUCACAGAAACACAUGCUCCAAGGUGGUAGUAUGAACAAGGCGCGAGUUCCCGCAUCUUCCAAGCUCAACACUGCACUAAACUCUCAAACAAAACAAAGAAAACAAAGGAACAAAAAGAAACAAAAAGAACGAAAACAAAACAAAGAAGAAAAAUAGUUGGGUUACCUCCCAACAAGUGCUUAAUUUAACGUCUAGAGCUCGACGAUACCUCAUGUUCUCAAUGAACAUCAAACACAGCGGGCGUGACAGAACGCUUAACACGGACAGAGGUAGAAGACCCAUGCGCAUCAGCUGCGUGAAAGACGACGCUUCCAUUGGGCACAUCUAUCAUAGCCCUCCCCGUAGCUAAGAAUGAUCGACCAAGAAUCAACGGCUGAUUUUGUAACACCCCGUACUUUUCCUCAUGUUGUGAGAUAGUGUCUUAACACUAUUGAGAGUACUGAGUUGUCGAGAUGCGAGACUUUUUUUUUGUGACCAGAUAAGACAGUUUGUCUUUUAAAUAGAGAUACGAGUGAAUAAACCGAUGAUGGAGUUAGAGUGAUGAGAUUCGAGAAAUGAGUUGAGCUAGAGAUGCUGAUUGAAUUGAGAUGAGAUUUUAUUUUAUUUCCGACUACCGGGAAUAGAUUUACCAGAUACCGAGUUAUCAGAGAUUGACUGUCCUAUUAAGAAAAUAGGAAUAAUGAGUCUGACAUAGAGUCGAGGAAGAAAGAGUGAGAACUUUGAUGAAAAGAGUCGGUCAGAGAGACGUCUAGUU